This 155-nucleotide unclassified non-coding RNA is filed under the name uncultured Stachybotrys. RNAcentral describes it as "sequence contains ITS1". Lineage: Eukaryota; Fungi; Ascomycota. The record is from RNAcentral.
CCGAGUUAACAACUCCCAAACCCCCAUGUGAACCUAUACCAAAACGUUGCUUCGGCGGGAGCGCCCCGGCUCGGCCCGGAACCAGGCGCCCGCCGAGGACCCCCUAAACCAUGUUUACUACAGUUUCUUCUGAGUGGCAAACGCAAAAUAAAUUA